RNAcentral lists this ribosomal RNA (435 nucleotides) under uncultured bacterium. Its description in RNAcentral is "partial 16S ribosomal RNA". It matches the Rfam family "Bacterial small subunit ribosomal RNA", at positions 28 to 507 of the family's 1533-position model. The record is from RNAcentral.
GAUGAACGCUGGCGGUAUGCUUAACACAUGCAAGUCGAACGGACUCUUCGGAGUUAGUGGCGGACGGGUGAGUAACGCGUGAGAAUCUGGCUUUGGGUUCGGGACAACCACUGGAAACGGUGGCUAAUACCGGAUGUGCCGAGAGGUAAAAGAGAAAUUGCCUGAAGAUGAGCUCGCGUCUGAUUAGCUAGUUGGUGAGGUAAAGGCUCACCAAGGCAGCGAUCAGUAGCUGGUCUGAGAGGAUGACCAGCCACACUGGGACUGAGACACGGCCCAGACUCCUACGGGAGGCAGCAGUGGGGAAUUUUCCGCAAUGGGCGAAAGCCUGACGGAGCAAUACCGCGUGAGGGAAGGAGGCUCUUGGGUUGUAAACCUCUUUUCUUAGGGAAGAAUAAAAUGACGGUACCUAAGGAAUCAGCAUCGGCUAACUCCGUG